Apis dorsata (giant honeybee) is the source of this 476-nucleotide long non-coding RNA. RefSeq lists it as uncharacterized. The transcript is spliced from 2 exons. The record is from RefSeq and is a predicted model, not a curated record. Lineage: Eukaryota; Metazoa; Arthropoda; Insecta; Hymenoptera; Apidae.
GCCUACAGGGGAACUCGUCUUUUUCUUUAUCUGUUGGAAUGGUACCUAUUCGCGUUGGUGAUCCAUUUGUAAUAUAGACUGUUAAGUGUGAAAGAAAUUUUAUUACGUAUUUCUUCAUUUGUUUGGAUAAGAGUGCAAUAAAUGAUCAAACGAUGGAAAAAGAAAUCGAGUUUGUAAAUUCAAAUAUUCAUGAAUGAGACGACGAAGAAUGAAGAACAAGGUUGAGGUCAAAUUAUAUCAAUUUCAAUAUUGAAAAAAUUGGAGAAAUUGAAAAAAUUCAGAAAAAAAAAUACAAAAAAUAUUAAUUCUGAUAAAAUAAAUAAAAUUAUUCUAAACUUUAAAAAAUUAGUAACAAAAAAGUAUGUAAUCCUUGACAUGUUCUCUCACGAAUAAUAUCACGAAAUCGUAAAAUCAUAAUUGUUAAUGUAUUAAAAAAAAUUGACAAUUAGAAAUAAAAAACUUGAUAAAUAAAUUCA